UACGGAGGGUGCAAGCGUUGUCCGGAUUUAUUGGGUUAAAGGGUGCGUAGGCGGCCCUGUAAGUUCAGUGGUGAAAAUCACUGCCAGCUUAACUGUAAGCAUUGCCAUUGAUACGUGUGGGGGCUUAGUUACAGAUGAGGUAGGCGGAAUUGAUGGUGUAGCGGUGAAAAUGCAUAGAUAACCAUCAAGAACACCGGAUUGCGAAGGCAGCUUACUAA
This 218-nucleotide ribosomal RNA is filed under the name uncultured bacterium. Its description in RNAcentral is "partial 16S ribosomal RNA". It matches the Rfam family "Bacterial small subunit ribosomal RNA", at positions 524 to 732 of the family's 1533-position model. The record is from RNAcentral.